AACGAACGCUGGCGGCAUGCCUAACACAUGCAAGUCGAACGAGACCUUCGGGUCUAGUGGCGCACGGGUGCGUAACGCGUGGGAACCUGCCCUUAGGUUCGGAAUAACUCCCCGAAAGGGGUGCUAAUACCGGAUAAUGUCUUCGGACCAAAGAUUUAUCGCCUUUGGAUGGGCCCGCGUUGGAUUAGCUAGUUGGUAGGGUAAAAGCCGACCACGGCUACGAUCCAUAGCUGGUCUGAGAGGCUGAUCAGCCACACUGGGACUGAGACACGGCCCAGACUCCUACGGGAGGCAGCAGUGGGGAAUAUUGGACAAUGGGCGAAAGCCUGAUCCAGCAAUGCCGCGUGAGUGAUGAAGGCCUUAGGGUUGUAAAGCUCUUUUACCCGGGAUGAUAAUGACAGUACCGGGAGAAUAAGCUCCGGCUAACUCCGUG
Molecule: ribosomal RNA, 433 nt
Filed under: uncultured bacterium
Lineage: Bacteria
Description: partial 16S ribosomal RNA
Rfam family: Bacterial small subunit ribosomal RNA
Source: RNAcentral